Long non-coding RNA from Triticum aestivum (bread wheat), 920 nucleotides. RefSeq lists it as uncharacterized. The record is from RefSeq and is a predicted model, not a curated record. Lineage: Eukaryota; Viridiplantae; Streptophyta; Magnoliopsida; Poales; Poaceae. The transcript has 3 exons.
GUCUCUCUCUUCUUAUUCCCCCUAUAGAAAAAUGCCUCCUCUUAUCUCAUUCGAUCCCCACCAGGUUCCUCAUCCCACACGCAUCAUAUUUCACCCGAUUUGCUGCCAGCGAAGGAAGAUUUUGCCACUUCCAGUUGUCGCGGGAGUGCGUGGUCGCGUUUGACGCAGUCUCAAGGAUGCGGAUCGAGUCUGGCAGCGCGGCCAUGGGGAGGGCAAGCGAAAACGCGGCAUGCUGCUUGGUUUCCCGUGCGAGCUCGUGCCAUAGACAAUGGUUGGUCUGAGGCACGGAACAGCGGGUGGCACCGCGGCUUUUUAGCUACGUCCCAUGAGAUCUAUGAUGAGGUAAUGGCGGCGCCGGACAAAGGUAGCAGUAUGUACAACACCAGCGAGGCCGUUGAUUUGCUUAUAUCCGGUUUCGCUAUUAAGUUACUGAAGCAAGGUUGGGAGUGCAUGCCGUGACUUCGUCGGACAUCGAGUGGGAACAGUUGGGCGUGACUUCUUCAGGCGUCGAGCUUGCUUUGGCAUGAUUUCAUUGGACAUCGAGUGGAGUGGUUGGGCAUGGCUUUCACGUUGCCUGGCAGCCCCGUUGACUCCAAUCUCACUAUGACGCGACUUUGCUAGGCAUCAAGUGUGAUUUGGCGUGAUUUCAUCAGAGAUUGAGUGAAGUUGUUGGGCAUGGCUUUAUCGUUGCCUGGCAGUUCCAUCGGCUUGACAUCGAGUCGUGUGUUUCAUUGUGGGACUGAUUUUCUUCUAGCAUCUUCAAGUCACGGUGAUGACCGUCUAAUUCUUUGGUGUGUGCUUGGGCCGGUUGGACUUCUUUUGUUUAUAUAUGGGUUGAGGUGGCUGGGUUAUCUGGCCAAGACCGUAUGGAAAUCUAAGACUUGUCUUGUUUACAUGUGUCCCUUUUGGAAAUUUCAUUA